Molecule: ribosomal RNA, 1381 nt
Filed under: Klebsiella variicola
Lineage: Bacteria; Pseudomonadati; Pseudomonadota; Gammaproteobacteria; Enterobacterales; Enterobacteriaceae
Description: partial 23S ribosomal RNA
Rfam family: Bacterial large subunit ribosomal RNA
Source: RNAcentral
ACGAGGCACUACGGUGCUGAAGUAACAAAUGCCCUGCUUCCAGGAAAAGCCUCUAAGCAUCAGGUAACAUUAAAUCGUACCCCAAACCGACACAGGUGGUCAGGUAGAGAAUACCAAGGCGCUUGAGAGAACUCGGGUGAAGGAACUAGGCAAAAUGGUGCCGUAACUUCGGGAGAAGGCACGCUGGUGUGUAGGUGAAGUCCCUGCGGACGGAGCUGAGACCAGUCGAAGAUACCAGCUGGCUGCAACUGUUUAUUAAAAACACAGCACUGUGCAAACACGAAAGUGGACGUAUACGGUGUGACGCCUGCCCGGUGCCGGAAGGUUAAUUGAUGGGGUUAUCCGUAAGGAGAAGCUCUUGAUCGAAGCCCCGGUAAACGGCGGCCGUAACUAUAACGGUCCUAAGGUAGCGAAAUUCCUUGUCGGGUAAGUUCCGACCUGCACGAAUGGCGUAAUGAUGGCCAGGCUGUCUCCACCCGAGACUCAGUGAAAUUGAACUCGCUGUGAAGAUGCAGUGUACCCGCGGCAAGACGGAAAGACCCCGUGAACCUUUACUAUAGCUUGACACUGAACAUUGAGCCUUGAUGUGUAGGAUAGGUGGGAGGCUUUGAAGCGUGGACGCCAGUCUGCGUGGAGCCAACCUUGAAAUACCACCCUUUAAUGUUUGAUGUUCUAACGUAGGCCCCUUAUCGGGGUUGCGGACAGUGUCUGGUGGGUAGUUUGACUGGGGCGGUCUCCUCCCAAAGAGUAACGGAGGAGCACGAAGGUUAGCUAAUCCUGGUCGGACAUCAGGAGGUUAGUGCAAUGGCAUAAGCUAGCUUGACUGCGAGCGUGACGGCGCGAGCAGGUGCGAAAGCAGGUCAUAGUGAUCCGGUGGUUCUGAAUGGAAGGGCCAUCGCUCAACGGAUAAAAGGUACUCCGGGGAUAACAGGCUGAUACCGCCCAAGAGUUCAUAUCGACGGCGGUGUUUGGCACCUCGAUGUCGGCUCAUCACAUCCUGGGGCUGAAGUAGGUCCCAAGGGUAUGGCUGUUCGCCAUUUAAAGUGGUACGCGAGCUGGGUUUAGAACGUCGUGAGACAGUUCGGUCCCUAUCUGCCGUGGGCGCUGGAGAAUUGAGGGGGGCUGCUCCUAGUACGAGAGGACCGGAGUGGACGCAUCACUGGUGUUCGGGUUGUCAUGCCAAUGGCACUGCCCGGUAGCUAAAUGCGGAAGAGAUAAGUGCUGAAAGCAUCUAAGCACGAAACUUGCCCCGAGAUGAGUUCUCCCUGAGACUUUAAGUCUCCUGAAGGAACGUUGAAGACGACGACGUUGAUAGGCCGGGUGUGUAAGCGCAGCGAUGCGUUGAGCUAACCGGUACUAAUGAACCGUGAGGCUUAACCUU